GUGGGGAAUCUUGCACAAUGGGGGAAACCCUGAUGCAGCGACGCCGCGUGGGUGAUGAAGCUCUUCGGAGUGUAAAGCCCUUUCGGCAGGGAAGAGUAAAGACGGUACCUGCAAAAGAAGCCCCGGCUAACUACGUGCCAGCAGCCGCGGUAAUACGUAGGGGGCCAGCGUUGUUCGGAAUUACUGGGCGUAAAGAGUGCGUAGGCGGUGCGGUGUGUUCGGUGUGAAAUCUCCCGGCUCAACCGGGAGGGGCCAUCGAAAACUGCCGCGCUAGGGUACGGGAGAGGGGAGUGGAAUUCCCGGUGUAGCGGUGAAAUGCGUAGAGAUCGGGAGGAACACCAGCGACGAAGGUGGCUCCCUGGACCGUAACCGACGCUGAGGCACGAAAGCUAGGGGAGCAAACAGGAUUAGAUACCCUUGUAGUCC
RNAcentral lists this ribosomal RNA (426 nucleotides) under uncultured bacterium. Its description in RNAcentral is "bacterial SSU rRNA". It matches the Rfam family "Bacterial small subunit ribosomal RNA", at positions 354 to 796 of the family's 1533-position model. The record is from RNAcentral.